Juglans microcarpa x Juglans regia is the source of this 740-nucleotide long non-coding RNA. RefSeq lists it as uncharacterized. The record is from RefSeq and is a predicted model, not a curated record. The transcript is spliced from 2 exons. NCBI's taxonomy places the organism in Eukaryota, Viridiplantae, Streptophyta, Magnoliopsida, Fagales, Juglandaceae.
CAUAGAAGAUGAAAUAUUGAAAAGGUUGGUCAUUUUGCAGUACCUAAUUUGAACUCUGGAGAAAUUUCGGUUGCUGGCAGUAUGUUUGGGCUUUGUCGAAUAAUUUGUCAUCACACCCUUGUAGUUGCAAGCAGUUUUCGACACUUAAAGUGUUCUUCUGGACAGGAUACUGAAGGUUAUAUCUUGUUCCAUUUAUAUAUUUAUUUUCUGUAAAGAAGGGUUGAUUAAUUUUACUACUAUAGUUUAUGCUUACCAAGUUUCAUUUUUAGAUCAUCCUUUUGACCGCAUGGCUAAAGCCUGAAGGGGAAGGAACUUUAUGAUUGCCAACGGUAUUUACUCAAGGUCUUCGGUGGAGGCUUUUGGAAUAUUCUUAUCUGGAAAGGAAGCAGCUGCUGUCAUGUUUUGGGUUCAUAUAUUUGCUCUCUUGACUCUUUACAAUGUAUGGGUCCUGGAUUCUUCUCUGCCUCAACGUACUCUUCAAAAAUUUCAGCAAACUGUGGCCAUGCCAUUUUGGCAAUAUCUAAUAUGGUUUUAAGUCCCUUUGCAUGGUAAUAUUUCGGAGCACCAAUGCUUAGAAGAACUGUCAAGAAGGCACUUAAAACAUUCUCUCGUGUUUUUUUACCCUGGUCUAGUAAUUUGUCAUUUCUGUUUAUUUGAAGCAACGAAUCUUACCUAGUUUGUUUGUCAUAUCUGUUGAGAAUAUGUUUAUUUUUUCUAAUCGAAUGUGGUACAUUUCUCUA